Non-coding RNA from Callithrix jacchus (white-tufted-ear marmoset), 33286 nucleotides. Lineage: Eukaryota; Metazoa; Chordata; Mammalia; Primates; Cebidae. The record is from RefSeq and is a predicted model, not a curated record.
UGUUAUGAUUUUGUAUGUUUGCUUCUGGCUGUUUCUUCUGAUAAACAGAGGGUCGUUCUUACCUGUGAAAGAACAUGGCUGAAUGUGUUGUUUAACUCUCUGAUAAAAUGUGUGCAGUCAGUCACAUGCCUGAUUGAACUUAAUUACUAGGGGGAAACAAAGCACUGAAAUUCUGGAAAGUUUUAGAUCUUCUUGUUAAAGCAUUUUGUAUGCCUUGUUUGAUUUUUUCUUUUCUGUGUAAUUUAAGAAUAAAAGAGGUGUUUUUUUGUUUUGUUUUAUUUUUUUAAUACCACAUAGCAGACUAAGGUCAAAUUUUAAUUUUAAAAAAUCUAAUUGUAUUUUUGGGGGUAGUUGAAGUUACAAUGAAGUAAACCGUAUUAUCUCUGUGUGAUAUGGAUGUUAAAAGUCUGGGGGCAGUGGCUUUGUUUUGGCAUUUUAGCUCAGGGUGAAGUUUUGGGACAACUCAGUCAUAGCUGUUGCUCAUUGGCUAUUCGGUUGGUUUUUCUCUCUCUCUCGGUUUUUUAAAGUUAAUGAAAUUGUAUUAAACAUUUCAUUUUGGAAACCAAAUAGAAGUUUAAGUAAAAUGAAUGGUGAUUUAGAUAAUAAGGAAAAGUGAAUGUUAGAUUAUUUAGAUAACAAGUAAAAGUGCAUAUUAAAUAGAAAGGAAGAAAGACUAGAAUGAUUCAUUAUAAUUCACACUAGAAACUUGUUCUGAGUAACAACCUUAGAAGUAAAGCUGUCUUGUAAGGAAACAUAGUUAUUUCAAUUUUGUGUAAAAAGAAAAAGUGAAGAGUAUUGGCCUUCCUUCUGUAUUACUGUUCUUAAAAUUUGCUUGCUUUGAUUAAAAACCUUCUGUAAAUGAAAAGAUUGCUCAGUCUUUACCUGAAGUACUUGUCAUUGUAGUUAUGAGAUUUUGGCUGGCGAGUAUACAUCCUGGUGUGCCUUAAAGUUCUAGGCUUUCUGUAAAGCUGAGUGCAGUAGUAUUUUACUUCUGAAACAUAUUUAUGAAGAUAAAAUUAGAAUCUGCAAUGAUUCCAAAAAAUAAGGUUUUUGGAUAUAAAACUUGCCAUAUCAUUUCUUGCUGAUCAAAAUAAUAUUUAGCUAGUUUUUUGAGAAUUUGCUGUACACUUUCUAAUUGCUUGAAGGUCUGUCAUAUUAAAGGGAAGAUAGGCAAUCAGUUAUUAUUUCUGACUCUUUUGUAAGGAUUGUUGAUAUUAACAGAUCUCAAUUUUGCGGUCUCAGGAGAAGGGCACAGCGGACAUUUUACCAAUUCAGCUGAGCCAUUUGCUAUCAUCUUUGUUUGCAUAUUGCUGGUUUAGUCAGCCUUUGAGUAAGCAAAGGCUGUAUUUACUUGUAGUCUGGUCUGUGUGAAAAAUCUAAUGAAGACUUUUCUAUUUUUUUUUUUUUUUAAUUUUUAAAGGUGGUGAUCCGUAAGAGAAAAAUUAAGAGGCACUCAAAUAAGCGGCAUAAUUAAGAUCUUAUUUAAUAAAGAGAAGUAGAGGAAUUCGGUUUCUUAAAAUUAAGAAGCUGGUGCACUUUAAAUAAAAUAGAUAUUGUUUAUAUAUUUUCUUAUGUGAUAAAGAGUGAAGUGGGGCUUCAAGGGAAGGGAAAAGGGGGGAAAAAAGGAGAGAAGCAAGAAAAGACCAGAAAAACUUAUUAAGUCAUUGCCUCCCCACUUUUUUCCUUCUCUAAGGUUGAAUGUAAGUUUGAACUGAGUCAUCAGAAUUAAAUUUAGGAUUACCGAUUUAUAGAAUUUUAACGCUGAAAGUGACUGAAGAUUGUCCAACUACCUUACUUUUAUAGGUGAAGGAACAGUGGCCCACAGAGGUCCUGAUUUUCUCUAGGUCACACAGUACCUCCAUGACUGGGCUUCCCAGUCUGGAACUGCUUGUGCCAGUCCACAAGUGUUGCUUUGUUUGAAAUGCUCUGUAUUUCCUUAAGGGUAAAUAAAACCUUAAUUAAGAUGUUUGGUGAUAAUCUUGGUGAUAAGUUGCAACCAAAUGGAUCAACCCAUGAUUUUGAAAAUGUAGUUAGUUUUCUUUUUCAUCAGAAAGAUGAGGCAUUCAUUUUAUUUCUACAACUUUUUGUUUUUCACUGUUAGAAUUUUUUUGUUCACGACAUUGCUUAUUUAAGAUGGCUUUAGAUGGAGUUGGGAAUUUAAUUUGAGCUUCUAGAUACAAAGACAGUUUUAUUUCUGCUUUAGUUUUUCCUCAUUAUUUUAGGAGGGCAAAUACUGUUUAAUGUGAUACCUUGUUGUACUAAAGUAUGUGUAUGUAAAACUUUGCAUGUGAAUUUACAAAAUCCAGAGGUAUCUAAGCUUUAACAUUAUUACCUUAAAUUUGACCUUACUAGAAGGUAAUAAUCUCAUUUUAUUUGUCUUUGUCAUAUCUUUUCCUCCUCCUUUCAGAGAAGAGAAUUGUUGGUAUAUACAAAAUUUUUUGUCUGUUAAAUUUUUGGUGUAUUUUACUGGCAUGGUUGGAAAUUUUCUAGGUCUGAUAUUUGGAUUUUUUUUUUUUUUUUGAAACUGAGUUUUGCUCUUGUUACCCAGGCUGGAGUGCAAUGGCGCGAUCUCGGCUCACCGCAACCUCCGUCUCCUGGGUUCAGGCAAUUCUCCUGCCUCAGCCUCCUGCGUAGCUGGGAUUACAGGCACGCGCCACCAUGCCCAGCUAAUUUUUGUAUUUUUAGUAGAGAUGGGGUUUCACCAUGUUGACCAGGAUGGUCUCCAUCUCUUGACCUUGUGAUCCACCCUCCUCGGCCUCCCAAAGUGCUGGGAUUAUAGGCGUGAGCCACCGCACCCGGCCUUGAUAUUUGGAUUUUUUAAAUUACUUUAUGCAUAACUGCUGAAUCUCCAAAAUUUCUGAGUGCCCUAACUUGGUUCAAUAUAAAAUCCUCCACAGUGUGGCCAUCAUUGUCCUAAGCAACAAAAAGCAAUAAAGGCUAGAAACAUGGGCUUUAUCCUCAUAAACUUAAAUUCUUGUUGGGAAAACAGAGCUUGUUAUCAAGUGAAGUAAGUAAAAAAUAGAACCAAUCACUGACUAAGUAAAUUCAGGUUCAGAUUGCCUAGAGAUAAAAGAUGGCAGAAACUUACAAUAUUCAGGAGAGUUUAUCUUGAAGGAGUGAUGAAUGUUGAAGGUUGAAUAGCAUUAAUCUAUGUUAAGAAGAGUGUCUUCAUCAAUAAGAAAUAAGAAUAUAAACUGUUUGAGAGAAGAGAGGUUUUGUUCUGUUUUUCUGUCUUUUUCAACCUUUGACAAAGUACCAAGCACAUAUAAGUAGACAGGUAUUAUUUUCUGUAUUAAACCUUUGGCUAUUCUUUUUAGCCAUCUUAUAUGACAAAUUCAGUUAGCCAUAUUUCUGAAGUUAAAGAUGCACAUCUUUUUUUUUUCUGAGAUGGAGUUUUGCCCCUGUUGCCCAGGCUGGAGUGCAAUGGCAUGAUCUCAGCUCACUGCAAUCUCUGCCUCCCAGGUCCUAGCAAUUCUCCUGCCUUAGCCUCCCAAGUAGUUGGGAUUACAGGCGUGUGCCACCACACCCAACUAAUUUUGUAUUUUUACAAAAUUACAAAACCAACAUGGGGUUUCUUCAUGUUGGUCAGGCUGGUCUUGAACUCCUGACCUCAUGAUCCACCCACUUCAGCCUCCCAAAGUGCUGGGAUUACAGGCAUGAGCCACUGCACCCAGCCAAAGAUCACACAUCUUUGAAAAGUGUGUGGCUUUCAGCUUAAUCUCUGACUGGUGUCUGCGUGUUGUAGCCAUUCAAAGAAAAAAAUAACAUUUAUGUGAUAGUAUUACCUUUAAAGCUGUAGUCGUCAGCCUUUGGUUUCACAAAGGGUCAUCCAGUUUUAACUCAGAAAUUCCGAUUCAUUAGGUCUAGGGUUUGCUUAAACAAUCAGCAUUUUUUUACUGUGUACCCUAGAUGAUUAGGAAGCAGGUGCUUAGACGCCACACUUUGAGAAAGAGAGUUUACAGGUUUAAGGCUAUGAAGAGAAAUUUGUUAUUUUGCAUUUAAAUAUUGGGAAGUUUUAGGCAUCAAUGCUCUUUUGAAGCCCAUAGCCACUAGUAAGGAAGGAAAGCAACUAGGGUACUUUAUUCUCAGUAUUAGAACCCAGUUGGGCCCCUUUCCCAUCCCAGUUAUCCCUUUCUCUAGUCCAUUUUUUUGUGUGCUAUGUGUUGUUCAGCUCUAGGGCUGGCCUGCUUGCUUUUUCUCUGAUCCACUCCCCAACGUACUGCUGUAUUGACCACAAUAAAGUAAUUUUUGUUUUUUAAUGUAAUUAACCCAUUUUUAUUUCUCAGCGAACUCUUUCAAUGUUGUUUUGCUUCCAUUUGUUGCUUCUUGGCUUCCCUCUUCAUCCCCUUAUUCCUGGGGCUCUAGGAAAAACAUCCCCUUACCGAUUUAGGGUGGCAUUUACAGUCUUUUGAAAGCUCUUCUCUCUUGAGACAUACACUAUUUAUUAUUUGUAAUAUUUUUCUUUUGUUUUUUUUUUUUUUGUUGGCGGGGGGCAGGGACUUAAAGACCAGUGUGAUAGUAUAUACUUGUUUAAGUCAGGGAGGACGUAACUUUUUUAACCAUAUAAUGCUUGGAUAUGAUUUUUAAAGCUUCUUCAGAUAUGUAACUGCAUCAUUGAUUGCAUAUUUGUAAGUUUUGCCUAAUAUUACAUCUCAUCUAAUGGGACAUCGUUAGGUAUUCACUGACUUGUAUAAAUGGGAAGAGAAGUCCCCUCAGUUGAACGGUUUGAAGAUAAUCACUGCUUCCAUCAGUUAGCUGGAAUAGGCCAGGCACGGUGGUUCAUGCCUGUAAUCCCAGCACUUUGGGAGGCCAAGGUGGGCUGAUCACGUGAGAUCAGGAGUUCCAGACCAGCCUAACCAACAUGGAGAAAUUCUGUCUCUAUUUUAAAAAAAUACAAAAAUUAGCUAGGCAUGGUGGUGCAUGCCUGUAUCCCAGCUACUCAGGAGACUGAGGCAGGAGAAUUGCUUGAACCCAGGAGGUGGGGGUUGCAGUUAGCUGAGAUCUCGCCACUGCACUCCAACCUGGGCAACAAGAGCGAGACUCCAUCUCCAAAAAAAAAAAAUUAGCCAGAAUAUUUUGUUCCUUUACUUAGGAGCUGCUUCAUAUAAAUGGUUGAAAUUAAAUUAGUAAGAUUAUUGAGUCAGCUACAGUGAUUAGGACAGUUUUCAACUAUCUGAACAAUCUUUUUUCCAUUAGUGUGGAGAACCUACAAAAGAGUAUUUUGUGUCUUGUCAAAUGAGCUGUAUACUAUAAUAAAAAUGGCUGUUGAGCAGUACUACAAAUGUCUUUUCUGGUCGUGGUUCUGAGCACCCUAAGUUAUUAUAUGAGAAAAAAUAACUCAUUGUGUGCUAUUUGCUUUGGAUGUAUAUUUUCUAUGCAGAAACGUUUUGAUUCCUUCACUUCCAGGUAUUAAUAUUCUUAUAGUCAGAGCUCUCUUGCUUUUUAUAGUUUAUAUGAAGAUUGGUUUAACAAUUUUUAUAUUAAAAAGUUAUCAGGGGGCCGGGCGCGGUGGCUCAAGCCUGUAAUCCCAGCACUUUGGGAGGCCAAGGCGGGUGGAUCACAAGGUCAAGAGAUCGGGACCAUCCUGGUCACCAUGGUGAAACCCCCUGUCUACUAAAAAAUACAAAAUAUUAUCUGGGCAUGGUGGCACACGCCUCUAAUCCCAGCUACUCGGGAGGCUGAGUCUGGAGAAUUGCCUGAACCCAGGAGGCGGAGGUUGCGGUGAGCUGAGAUCGCGCCAUUGCACUCCAGCCUGGGUAACAAGAGCGAAACUCCGUCUCAAAAAAAAAAAAAAAAUAAUAAUAAUAAUAAUAAAAAGUUAUCAAAGUGGUAUAUGCACACCAUUCAAAAUUAAUUGAUAGGUCUAUAAGGAAAAGCAGCCUCCCUCCUCUACCUCUUCUCACUCUCAGUCCUUCUGCCCAAAGGUAACCACUUAGAGAAGUAGUUUUUAUUUUUUGUGUUUUCAUGUGAUUUGUCCUUGUCCUGUGUUCUACUCUGUAUAUUAGAAGCUCUUCAAAGUAGCAGGCACCAGUAUGACUUUACACACUGCAAUAUUAAUAGAUGCCCUGUCAUAGAGUGAUCGUUAUGUUUGCUGUUACAUGGUGCAAUCUUAAAAAUCUAAAUAUAAUUGAAGAAAAUUAGUUUCUGGGUUUAGAAAACAUCCUAUAAAUAGAAAAACUAUAAAUUUGAUAAUUAAAAGAGGUAUUGAUUUAAUAAUUUAUGUACAUCUUAUUUUCAUUUUUAUUUUUAUUUUUUAUUUUACUUUAGGUUCUGGGGUACAUGUACAGGUCAUGCAGGGUUGUUGCAUAGGUGCAUACCUAACCAGGUGGUUUGCUGCCUCUAUUUCCCCUUUGACUAUAUCUGGCAUUUCUCCCCAUUUUAUCCCUCCCCACCCCCCACUGUCCCCCUCAGCCCCCACAAUUGCCCCCAGUGUGUGAUGCUUCUUUCCCUGAACCCAUGUGUUUUCAUUGUUCAACACCUACCUAUGAGUGAGAACAUGCAGUGUUUAGUUUUCUGUUCUUGUAUCAGUUAGCUGAGAAUGAUGGUUUCCAGAUUCAUCCAAGUCCCUACAAAGGACACGAACUCAGCAUUUUUUAUGGCUGCACAGUAUUCCAUGGUGUGUGUGUGUCACAUUUUUUUUUUUUUUGUCCAGUCUGUCAUUGAUGGGCAUUUGGGUUGGUUCCAGGUCUUUGCUAUUGUACACAGGGAACACGGGGCUGCAGUGAACAUAUGUGUACAUGUGUCUUUAUAGUAGAACAGUUUAUAGUCCUUUGGAUAUAUACCCAGUAAUGGGAUUGCUGGUUCAAAUGGAAUUUCUAUUUCUAGAUCCUUGAGAAAUCGCCAUACUGUCUUCCACAAUGGUUUAACUAAUUUACACUCCCACCAAUUGUGUAAGAGUGCUCCUAUUUCUCUACAUCCUCUCCAGCAUCUGUCUCUAGAUUUUUUAAUGAUCGCCAUUCUAACUGGCAUGGGAUGGUAUCUCAAUGUGGUUUUGAAUUGCAUUUCUCUAAUGACCAGUGAUGAUGAGCAUUUUUUCAUAUUUUUGUUGGCCUCAUAUAUGUCUUCUUUUGAAAAGUGUCUGUUAAUAAUUUAUGUACAUCUUAUUUUUUAUAUCAAAAUACCGAAUGGAAGUUUAGUAUUGUAAUGGGGCAAUUCAUUCUUUUUUUCUUUAAAAAUGAAAUGUGCAUGUAGGAGAAUAUAUAAAACAUAUAGAGCUUAAAUAAAAUUAUAAAGUGUUACAAUGGAUAAACAUUUUAUAAUUUUAUUUAAACUGUGUUGCCCCACAUUUAUAAGUAUCUUGAGAAACAACCCAGGUUAAGAAAUAUAGAGUAUGUCUAUUACUCUAGAAAGCCCCCACUCCUAUUCAUAUUUGUUUCCUUUAAAAAAUAACUACUAUCCUGACUUUCGUGAUAAUCUUUUCUUUAUAGUUUUACCUCUUUGAACUUUAAACACAUGAAUCACACCAUAUAGUCUGUAGUGACUUUUCUUCUUUCAUUCAGCUCCAUGGUUUAUCUUACUUUUCCUUGCAAUAUAGUAUUCCGUUGUUUGUCUAUACCAUAAUGUAUUUAUUCUCUCUCGUUGAUGGCAUUAGAUUAUUUUCAGCUUGAGAACAUUUGUGCAUGGUUCCCUGGAACCUAAAUUUAGAAGUUCUCUAGGGCCAGUAUCUUCACAGAGAGGGAUGUGAAGGCCUUGCAGUGAGAAUGGAGAGGAUGGAUAGUUUAAUGUAAUUUAGAGUUCCUCAUUAUCUUUCCUAGGAACAGACAGCUGCCAGUGAUGACUUUUACCCAUUCAUAAUCUUUCUGUGGUGUAUUCUCUUGGGGUGUAAAUCCUCCAGGACCCUAAACAGAUAGGCAGUUGAUGCAUUUCAGAGUAAGCUAUAGUCAUCAAUAUAUUUGACCCCGAAAGCAGUUCAGUAUGCUUGUCAUUUAUUAACUAGAGUUCAGUUAUUUCAAACAUAAUUUUCAAUAAAAAAAAUUUAAUAGAAUAAAUACCUGUUCCCAAUUAUGCAUAUAAAAGCAAUCCUGCCAUAUUGAUACAUAUGUAGUAAAGUUGUAAAUAUAUGUAACAGGGAAGAAAUCAAUUUUAGAAUAGUUGAGGAGUGGGUACUGUAACUUAUGCCUAUAAUUUGAGCACUUUGGAGAGCCUAAGUGGGAGGAUCACUUGAGGCCAGGAAUUUGAGACCAGCCUGGGUAACACAGCAAGACCUUGUCUCUACAAGUAGAAAAAAAUUUUUUUUUAAAAUUUUCCAGGCGUGGUAUCAUCAUAUUCCUGUAAUUCAGCUACUCGAUAAGCUGAGGCAGGAGGAUUGCUUGAGCCCAGGAGUUAAGGCUGCAGUGAAAUAUGAUUGUACAACUGUACUUCAGCCUGGGUAACAGAACAAGAAUCUGUCUCUUAAAAAAAAAAAAAAAAAAAAAACAGAAGAAAAGAAAAGCAAACUUAGAACAGUCAAACAAGGGAUAAAACGAGACUGGAGAGGGAUAUUGGAGAUUUUAACUGUAGAUGACCUUUUUUUCUUUAAAAAAAAUGUAAACAAACUAUGGCAAAAUAUUAAUGUAAAGCUAGGUGGUAUAUAGACGAAUGUAUUCUCUUUUUCCUCUUUGGUGGAACUGUUUAAUAAUACUUUUUUUAUUUUGAGAUGGAGUCUUGCUCUGUCACCCAGGCUGAGUGCAGUGGCACAAUCUCGCCUCACUGCAACCUCCGGCUCCCAGGUUCAAGCAAUUCUCCUGCCUCAGCCUCCUCAGUAGCUGGGAUUAUAGGUGCCCACUAUUGCCCCCAGCUAAUUUAUUUUUGUAUUUUUUUAGUAGAGAUGGUUUUGCCUUGUUGGCCGGGCCGGUCUUGAACUCCUGACCUCAAGUGAUCUGCCCACCUCGGCCUCCCAAAGUGCUGGGGUUACAAGUGUGAGCUACACGCCCAGCCUCAUAAUACAUUAUUAUCUGUAAGCCAUAGUUUAUUUUUACCCCACAUUUAUAGGUAUCUUGAGAAAUAAUGUUUAAUUUGGUAGUAAAAGUUGACUUUUAAAAAAAGUUGUAAAUAAACUUUGCAUCUGAACCAGGGGCACUGACAUGCACCUGUAGUCCCAGCUACUUGGGAACUUGAGGUGGAAAGAAUGCAUGAGCCCAGAAGUUUGAGAUCUGGGCAACACAGUGAGACCCUCCUAUCUCAAAAAAACAAAAACUCUGCAUCAGUUAAAAAUGUGGCCAAGCACGGUGGCUCAAGCCUGUAACCCCAGCACUUUGGGAGGCCAAGGCAGGUGGAUCAAUUGAGCCCAGGAGUUUGAGACCAGUCUGCAAAAUAUGGUGAAAUCCCCGUCUCUGCUAAAAAUACAAAACUAAGCCCUGCAUGGUGGUGCGUGACUGUAGUUCCAGCUACUUGGGGAGCUUGAGCCCAGGAGGUCAAGACUUUAGUGAGCCAUGUUUGUGCCACUGCGCUCCAGCCUGGGCAACAAAGUAAGACCCUGUAUCAAAAAAAAAAAAGUUAAGUGCCUUUUUCAGUGAAGGGGAUUAGAGAUGUAAGUGUUAGAAAACUGUGCGUCUGUCCCAGGUAACUAAGAUCUAGGCAUACUUCUGGAUGGAUAAAUGGUAAUUUCCAAUUGAGAUCCAUGAACAAUUUGAACAAAUUGGAGCUCUAGUUACCCAGAAGUAAUUUAGUUAGGUUUCAUCUUUAGAAUUAUCCCCCAUUCAAAUAUUUUUUGAAAACAUUUCAAUAUGAAAAUAUUCAUAAAAUAAUAUAGUAUUAACACCCAUGAACUUUUAAGUAGCUAAUAAAUUGUUGCAUCUAACAAGAUUUAUUGGUAUAGUCAACGUUUCAUGUUGCUUCCUGACCAGUGUUUCAUGUAGCUUCCUUAGAAUUCUUACUGUAAUAAUAGCAAUUCCUGCAUCUUUAGUGAUUUUUGUUGUUGUUGUUAUAAACUAGAUAUAUACUCUUCAGGUUAAGCUUUCAAAAUUUAACAAUGUAAAUGCAGGAAUUGCUAUAAAAAGUGAAAACAUAGAUCUUAACCCAGGUUUUUAAUUUCAUUAUCCCUUGGCUCUCUUUCCUGAAAUAUUUCCCACAGUGUAUGUAUAAGCAGUGGCAUGGGCAAAGAACAAGUGGAAAUAGAAGUUUAAGAUUUCCUUGUCUGAGGGUUCCUUUAAAGUCAUGUAGUUCAGGGGUCUCUUAAAUUUUUAUUAUGUAUCUUUCGAUCUGUUUUAUUAUUGAUUCAUUCAACAGUUAUUUUCUGUUACAUAUUAUUCUUGAUGUUGGGAUAUAACAAUGAACAAAAUAUAAAAACUUCAUAAAUUAUAUGCAUAUAUUCCACUACUUAGCUUCCAUUUAAACAUUUAUUAUCAUGUAUAUAACUAUUAGAGAAAAUUAUAGAUAAAAUAGUGGUUUUCAGUGUGCUGCAUGUGAUCUACUAAGGCAAGGAAAGUGUACCUUGGUAGGUCACAUGUAUCACACACCUCACACACAUACACCCCACACCUAUAUGUAUGCUUUUUUUUUUUAAAGAUAGGGGUGUAGCUCUCUCGCCUAGGCUGGAAUACAAUGGUAGAGUCGUAGCUCACUAUAGCCUCAAACUCCUGGGCUCAAGCAAUCCUCUGCCUCAGCCUCCUAUGUAGAAUUACAGGUGCAUAUCGCUAUGCCACACAAGUUUCUUCCUUUCUGUUCUUUCUUUCUUUCUUUCCUUUUCUUUCUUUUAUUUCUUUCGAUAGAUAGAUAGAUAGAUAGAUAGAUAGAUAGAUAGAUAGAUACAAGGUCUGGUUCUGUUGCCCAGGCUGGUCUCAAACUCCUGGGCUCAAUCAAUCCUCUUACCUUGGCUUCCCAAAGUGUUGGGAUUACAGGUAUGAGCCCCCAUGCUCGGCCCAAAACAUAGGUAUUUAACAGCAUUAUUUUUUACCAAGGAAAAAACAAUUAUCUCAUAGAGUUUUUUUUCAAUAUGCUAUUCUGAGAAAAGACUCCUUUAAAGGGCAUAUAAUAAAUAACAAUAGCCUAUAAGUAAAAAUUUAUGUAUUGAUAAAUAUGACCUAUGAAAACAGAAGCUUUUUGUGGUCUCAAUAAAUUUUAAGAAUACAAAGGGCUUUGGGAGGCCGAGGUGGGUGGAUCACAAGGUCAAGAGAUUGCGACCAUCCUGGUCAACAUGGUGAAAUCACGUCUCUACUAAAAAUAUUAAAAAAAUUAGCUGGGCAUGGUGGCAUGUGCCUGUAAUCCCAGCUACUCAGGAGGCUGAGGCAGGAGAAUUGCCUGAACCCAGGAGGUGGAGCUUGCAGUGAGCCGAGAUCUCGCCGUUGCACUCCAGUCUGGGUAACAAGAGCGAAACUCCAUCUCAAAAAAAAAAAAAAAAAGAAUAUAAAGGGAUCUUAACACCAAAAAGUUUGAGAACUGCGCUAUGGCAACCAGUAACGUAAAUAUUAUUCUUAAAUAGAGUUUUACAUUAUUAAAUUGAAGUGAAAAAAAAAAGAGCUUUCUAAACCAGAAUAACUAACGUAAGAACAUUAAAUUGAAGUUCCUUCUUCCCAAUGAGAAAAAUCAUAGACCAUCAUGUUUGCCAUUAAUUUACUUGUAUCUCCUAGCCCUUUCCACAAAGAAUAACCAGUUCUUUAAAAUUGGGAAGAAUAUUAAAUUAUUACAUAUAAAAUUAAAAUAUUAAACCUUCUAGCAAAGGAAUGAAAAUUAAAAUGAAAUAGCCCCCUUUGUUUGACAGUAGCUCAAGUAUUGUGGGUUGUUGCAAAUGACAUUGAAUGUCUAUGCAGGUAUUCUGUUGCUAACAGUAGAAACUGGAAAAAUCUUCUGCAGGGCAGAUGGCAUUGUUAUAUGAAAUGCUUUGAAAAUCUACGUGCCUUUUGAUAGAAUUCAGUUCUUCAUAGGUAUCCUGAAGAAAAUUUAAGGAUGGAACCAAAGAUUGAGUUAAAAGGAUAUUUGAAUCAUUGGUUGUGAUUGUGCAGCAGUUCUCAAACCUUAUACUUUUUUUUCAAACUUUAUGCUCUUUAUAUUGUCUUUAUACUAUUAAAAUUGAGGCUCCCAAAGAGCUUUGAUUCAUGUUAACUAUUAGAAAUUAAAAAAGAAACUUGAAUGAAUUAAUAUAUUUAUUUAAAAAUAAUAAGCCCAUUACAUAUUAGCAUAAUUAUUUUUAUAAAAGAUAAGUUUGAGCCAGGUAUGGUGACCCAAGCCCAUAGUCCAGCUACUUGAGAAGGUGAGGGAGGAAGAUUGCUUGAGCCCAGGAGUUCAAGUCCAACCUGGGCAACAUAGCAGGACCCUGUUUAAAAAAACAAAACAAAACACAGUACAAAAAAGACAAAUAUGUUUUCCAAAACAAAAGCUGAACGGAGAAGGGUGCAAAUCUUUUAUUUUUGACUUCACAGAAGACAGCUAUAUUCUCAUAUCUACUUCUGCAUGAAAUAUGUUGGAAUAUGUUACUUUUAUUGAAGAAUAUGAAGAACAUUCAGCCUCACACAAAUGUCUAGUUGCAAAAAGUAGAUGUAUUUUAAUGGCCAAUUGAGAUAAUUCUGGAUAUUCUUCGAUACUACACCAAAGCUCAUCAACAAAUGCUAGUUUUUUUUAAAGGUCAGUACAAUGAGAUUUUGAAAACCUAUAAAUGAACUUUCUGUCCCCUGGAACAUUAAAAUCCUUGUGGUCUGUCUUGUACUUUGAAUGGAUUGAUUUUUUUAACCUAAGCAAGAUUUUGUAACAUCUUGUGUGAGUUAUUUGGGUAUUCCAAAUGUUGACAUAAUAUCAAAAUCACACCAGACUCAUCAGAAAAGCCUUUUAAGUGUUUUGAGAAGCCAGUGGAGUCAAAGUGGCAGAUACAUACAAGUUUUCCAAAAUUCUGAUUUUCAGUUAAAAGCUUUCAUUUUAUAAUUGGUGACAAAUGUUUUUGGUUGUUUACCUUGAAGUCAUGGGCUUGCUGUAUUCAUUUUUGGAAAAAUUGCUGCCAGAUAUCCAAUUCUGAAUAAUAAUUAGUUCUUUUAAGUAAAAAUAUUUCAUGAAAGCAGCAUCUAGUUUACCUCACAGAUCAAAGAAUACUAGCAUAAAUGCUUUUUCUCAAGACAACAAUGCUAUUUCUAUUUAUGCCAGAAGUCGUGCUUCACUCAUACUUCCCAUUUUGUCAAUCAGAAUAUUAAAAAGAUACGUAUUUAAUGGUUGAGAUUCAAGAACAUAAAUCAUCUUUACUCUUCUUCAAAGACAUUCUUAAGUGAAGCUGCCUUUCUAAAAUGUGAGUGCCCAGUGACAAGGAGUAGACUUGAGUGGCCUGAGGGACAGCUUUGGUCAGGGCUGAGGCACUCACAGUUUCAUCUGUCUUUGCUUUUGCAUCAUUGGUGCAAUUGUCAACACAGUGGGAAAGCCAGAUAAUACCUCGGCGUUGUUAUGAUCUUGUGAUCAAAGAGUUGUGAUCUUGGGAGCCCCCUGAAAGGGUCUCUGGGUCCUUUGUGGGUCUGGGGAUGACAUUUUGUGAAUUACUGUUAAUAGUGCAACAUUAGAAAUACAAAUGUCUCAAAAUGAGUGGUCGAUUAAGUAAAUGAUGGUAUAGCCACACAAUUACAUGGCAGAAAUAUAAUUUUAUUAAAGUUCAUGUUAAAUAUAAGCUUAUAGCACAGUAUUUUCCUGUUUGGGGCACCUCUCAUGAGGAACUCAUCAUUCUUCCAAGAAAGUGAGGGUGUUGGUUCUGAGCCUCAGUGCUUCCAUUUAGUGGACGCCUUUGUCAUUAAGAAAAGGGAAGUUGAAAGGCAGAAGGCGGCAGUUACUCUUCUCCAGUAGGCUAAGGGGUGUUUGUACGGCAGCUUUAUUUUUAAAUAAUAGUAAAAGGAAUUGGCAGUGGUAUCAAUCAUUUUUAGAUGCUUUAUAAUUAUAAUAAUAAUAAUAUGUGGAAUCAAAUGAAGUUCCUCCAGUAGACUCAAUUCCUCUUCAGGCAUUUUCUGGUUUACUUUUUCCUGUUGUGUUCCUAAUUGAAAGAGCUUUCAGUUACUCCAUAUUAUUUAGCUUCAGCCUGAAUUUUAAAAGUGAGUUAUAAGUAGGUUAGAAGGAGACUGUUGAGUUGAGCCCCUCGGGCUUCCUGCUAAGACCUCCUCCACACAGGGUGUUCCUGAGCUGUAUUAUCUGUAGUCUGCAGCAGGGAGGAACACUUGGUAAGCGGCAUCAUUGAAGACAGGCUGCUUUGUGCAUCUGAGAUAUUUCUCUUUGUUAUAAUGGAUGCCUAGUAAUAAUCAUGGCUUGUCUUGAGUAAGGUUUAACAUUUUUCUAAGCACCAAUUUCUAGGGAGAGUUUGAUGUUUAAUAUUCCUUUCCAGAUAGCCAUUGUGUUUAUUCAGAAUCUUAUGUCUUAGAUAAACUUGUUAAAGUAUGCUGGAAGAAUAUAUACUAUAUGCUAUGUAUAUAAAGUUUUAAAAAAUACUACACAAAAUGUACGUAUAUACUAAAUUAUAAGGAAAAAUAACAUGAAGAUUUUAUAUUUAAGUUUGAUUAAUUAAUUCAAAUUAAUGUUAUGUGUGUUUUAGUUUGAAGGCCAACUUAAAAACUGUGUAUUUAGACACAAGAUUGUGUAAAUCAUUUUAUUCAGAAUGUUUUCAUGGUGCGAACAUUGCAAACUGGACAUUGUGUCUGAUCUUUUGAUCUAAUAGAUCAGAGAAAAACUUGCAUAUUGUUAUAGGAUAAUUUACAACAUGUUAGUCUUAAGAAUAAACUGAAAGGAAGAUGUAACACUUAUCUGACCUUGGUAGAACAGAACAGUUAGACAUCGUUAACUGUGUUUGAUUGUUGGGUAGGUGAUGGACGCUAGGUUCUCUGCAGCUGCUCUGAGACUCCUCCACUCCCUCCACUCCCUCCUGACCCUGUCCCCAUUUAGGGUUAUUUCACUAUGCAUCAGAGCCAGAGGAUAGGGCAGGGGAGCCAAUGUAUAAGGAAAUGGAUGAUUUCCUUCAUUCUUGCUUCAUGGUGUAGGGAACGCUUACUCCUUAUUCCCUAGAUAGUGGGGACAAUAUAUCUAAUAUAUUUACAAGUGAGAGCAGAGAUGUACUAAAGAAAUGCUAGGAAGGUACUAAUAACUCUUAGACUCCUAUAAAGAAUGAGCUAGAUCCUUCUGGUUGAAAAAUACUGGGUAAAAAUGAAAUCGUUUUUUCCAAGCCACUCAUUUAAUAAAUGUUAUUUCAGGAGCCUACUACCAUGCUUACAGCUGAUUAUUAGGUUUAUGUUCAGUUCUGUUUAGGAAGGAGAGGUCACAGGAAGCUCAAGAUGGACUUAUGUAUAGUAAAAUAUGAAGAGUCGUUUUGGACAUUGACCUAGAAUGGAAUAGCACUAUCCCCUGGUGGAAUUGUGAUUGUGGCAGCUUGCGCUUGUUAUAGCUUAGGUAAAUAUUGACCAAUAUGAAUGGAUAAGAUAGCUGCAUUUUGCCCAAGUUUAUGAUACAGAAUAUGAAUCAUGUGAGUAAUGAAUUGAAUUUAUUCUUAAGGAUUAUUAGUUUGGGAGGCGGCUUGGCAUGAUGAAAAGUGAACACCCCUUAGUUAUAAUUAACUGGAAGUUUGCUUAACAUGACUUAAGGAGGCAGGACUGACCUAUGGAGAACAGAGUUCUAUUUGGUUUGUGUAUAGUUGAAUAUAUACGAGUAAAUAACAUAAGCCAAGUUUGGGAUAUAGGAAAUGAGAAGGGAGUAGAGCUAGUUUGGCUGGGGGGGUGCAAAUUUUAAUCCAGGAGGGUGCUGAUAAGAAGCCAUAGUAAAAAUGACCAAAGAUCAAAGGUGCAAGUUACCAGUCCUGCUUUGCUGAUAGUUGCUUAAAGGUUUUUUGUGUUUUGGUUUCUUUCUUUUUUUUUUUUUUGUGGUAGUUUUUUUUAAAUAUAGGUAUAGCAGGAGUGUGGGGCACCUUAUAUCAAGGUGGACAAGUGUUACUUAUGUGAACAGUUGGAUAAAAUAGUUUGAGGCUUGUCCUGUUGUUUAGACACUUGGUUUUUUACUCAGUCAUGUGGUUUUCAAAUCUUAAUUUGUGUGGUGUUUGCUCCUAAGAAUACUUCUUCAAAAGACUAUAAAUGAGUCUUUGUAUGCAUAUUGAAUCUUAGAUCCCAACACUGGAAUCCUUUCCUGUGGGCUCUGUUUUCAUAAACACUCCUCACCAUUUAUAUGUUUCUGCUACUGUACUUCGAUAUAUUUUCAUACAAACUAUUGAACUAUUUAUAAAACAAGACAUAAAGAUGUAGCAGAGAAGGCAGGAAAUGCUUGACAUUUGUGUGCCAUAUCUUACUCUCUGCUUCCUGUCAGUUAAACCACGAUGAGAGGAACAGAGACACAGAUGUACAAUUGCUGCUUUAAUUUGCCACUGGGGAGACCAGUUAGGUAAAAAGCUUGUUUCAUUAAACUUGUGUCACUUGUUGAUUCGAAGGGCAUUGUAGGCUUGUUUGGUGUUAUAUGGAUUGUAUGCAUCAUGUGGCAAUUAGACGGUUGCCAUAGCACCUAAUAGGUACAUACAUCUUUUACAUAUUUAAAAGGUAUAGCAGGAGUGUGGGGCACCUUAUAUCAAGGUUGCCAUAGCACCUAAUAGGUACAUACAUCUUUUACAUAUUUAAAAGGUAUUUACUUUUGUGACAUUUUUUAGGCAAUAAAAAUUGGCAUUUGAAUUUGUGUGUAUUUGUAUAAAUUCACUGUAAAAUGUUAGGUUAAUAUUUUGAUCUUAAAAUUUUAGUAUCUAAUUAUAACUUUUAUAUAUUAGCAUUUCAGGAUUCUGUAAAACUUUCAAAGCAUUUUGUAGUUUACAAAGUAAAUUCUUGGUACAACUUCAAAAUGAAAGAUGAAUGGAAAGUUAUAGAGGUUGACUUCUCUCUGUAACUAAAUACAGUUGGUAAAUACAGUUAGUAAAUGACAAAACUACAACUUGAAUGCAGGGGUUCUGAUGCUAGAUCCUGUAUUCCUAAUGUUAGGGAAAGGUUUGUUUUCAUUAAAUAGCUAUUCUACCUGUUUCUCAGUGAUUUGAACUUUUAGGGUCACCUCUGCUUAUUCUUCCUAGAAUAUCCCCUACUCCUUUUCCUAUCAUGUUCUCUCUCCUUAGAAAAAAUAGAUGUUACUUAUUUCUAAACAAAUAGCCCACGUGUCACUUCCUUAUGAAGUUUUUUCAGGUUCUCACAGGGAUUUAUCCUUUUCUGUUCCAUUAUCUUUUGGUUGACUUGUUUAUUUACAUUGUUUUGUAGUUAUCUGUUUGCAUUUUUUCUUUUUAGGCAUUGAACCAUUUGGGGUCAAGGAUCAUAUCUUAUUUAUCUUUAUUUUUAUAUACCCAGUACAUAGCAUAUAGAUUUCAUUAAUACUUGUUGGAGGAAUAAAUACAUGCCUGAUAUUUAUUUUCUUUUUUCUAGAAUCACAAGCUGGCUAAAGAACUCUAACGUGGAUCUUUUCUACAAGUAGCCUUUAUGGUUUAUUUCUAAGAAAUAAUUUUAUUAUAAAAGUUAUUUCCUGCUUCAGCCCUAUCCACCCCCAGUUUGUUUUUGCUGUUUAUGGAAAUGAGAUAUCUUAGUGAAAUUAUUAGUGUUUUCAUCCUAGUCAAAAGUGGAGAUAAUAUAUUGGUCCAUUUAAAAGUGUAGCUAAAGAGCUUAAUUAUUUUAGAUUGCUAAGCAUCAAAAAUCUCUCACUUUUGGCUUUAAUCUGGAAAAAAAUGUCUAGACUUGCAUUCUAGUCUUGAUAUCUACACUGAAUAAAUGGAAACAAUAAUUCUCUUUACUACUUUUUGUCACCAAAUUUUUGUGUGUUGGUGAUUGGAGGGUCUCGUUUGGAGACCACCAAUUGCAGUGGUCUCGUCAGCAGAGCAGUGAUUUUUACAAGUAGGACUUCAGCUUAGAUCUGCCCAUUCUAGGAAUGUCUUAUAAAGUUUCCAUAUUAACAGUUUUUCCAGCUGAAAAUUGAUAGAAGUUACUAUAUUUUUAAAACAAAUCUAAAUGAUCAAAGUGAAAUCUAAGGAUUUGAUUUUUAAAGAUUGAAGGAAAAAUUAUGAAGCUAUAUGAGUUUAAUUUUUAAGGAGUUUUAGAAGCACCAAAUAGUUAUUUUGUUUAUUAAAACUUAGAUAGACAUGUGAAAAAUCGUUUCCAGGGUUUUUGAGUGUCCUUUUACAUGUGAGACCUCCCUUUAUUGUGCUGUGGGGGGGUGCUGAUGUAUUUAUAAGUCUGAAUCAGAAAAAUACAUGUAUAUAUGUCACUUUGAGGAUAGUCAGUGAAGCUUAGCUCACCACCAGUUGGUUCUGAGAAGCAAGUGCAUCCUGUGAAAUUCAAUAGAAUGCUAAAACAAACAUAGAAGACACUUAAAUUUUACCAUCUUAAUGAAGAAUUUUAAUAAGCAAAAAUUUUUAAGAAAAUAAAAUGUCCUUUGAUCUUGACCUAGUGACUUUCUAACACAUACUGUACUUAAUCUUUUAAAUUGUGUUUAUUAGUAACAUAUGGAAACAUUUAUUAUGUCUUUUUUUUCAAGCUUAGAAUCUUAGAGAUAGGAUAUAGUAAGUAAUUACUGAAUGACACGGGAGAAUGAACUUUGUGCCCAUUUCUGGUAUAGCAUACAUAUUACUGUGACUUGCAUUUGCCUUAGCUGAUAGACUGUGACCGCCUGUAGGGAAAGUCUUCUUAGCCACUUGUUGCUUUCCUACCCUUCUCCAGCAGGUAGGUCCCUAAAGAGUAUUGUUCAAAAGAAUAUAGACAAAACUGAUUUCUUUCUUUUUUUUGAAAUGGGGCUUGCAAUUUUUGUUUUGUUUUUCGAGAUAAGGUCUUGCUCUGUCACCCAGGGUGGAGGGCAGUGGCACCAUCAUGUCUCUCACCUCAGCCUCCCAAGUAGCUGGGACAACCAGCCCAUCCCACCAUGCCCAGCUGAUUUUUAAUUUUUGUAGAAAUGGGAUCUCGCCAUGUUGCUCAGGUUGGUCUCAAACUCCUGGCCUCAAAUGAUCCUCCCACUUUUGCCUCCCAAAGUACUGGGAUUAUAGGCAGCACCUGGCCCAGAUAAGAUUUCUGAAGGCUAUCUACUACUAAUAUAUAGGAAAAGACAAUAUAGAAAGAAUUAUUUCUUCUCCUCGAGGUAUUUCUCUUUCUAAAGAGGAUGUUUUAUAAAAUCUCAGUACACUUUUAUUUGUUGUCACAUUUCAGUUGGCUCAAAAUAAAAUUAAAUCAAAAUGAAGGCUUUGAGGUUACCCUCAAGUAAAUCAGCUUUACCUGGAACAAUCCGCUUUUGGAUUUAUCUGUAUCUAUUUCCUCCCAAGAUUUUGCCUUCCCCUCACCUUAUAUACUCACAGAUUGUCUCUGAAAGGUCAAAACAAAACAAAACAAACUUCUCCCCACAACUUUUCUUCCCCUCCUUAGUGCAGGAGAGGUCACGUGUUCUGUGUCCAGUUGUCAGGGCUUGGAGUGUGACUGGGAGUUAGGUAUCAAAGGAGAGAGGCAGAAGUUUCUCUUCAUGGGUUUUAUGAUAACAGCCUACAUUGCCUGACAAUCUCACCCCAACUUUUUUUUUUUUUGAAACAAGGUCUUGCUGUUUUACCCUGGCUGGAGUGAGUGGCUUUGUGAUCUCAGUGCAUGGUGUUGGGCUUGAACUGUUGGGGCUGAAGUGGGCUUCCUGCUUCAUCCCCCUGCUACAGGAGCGUGCCACUGCACCUGGCUUCACAUUUUUAAAGCAGAAUAUUUUGAGGGGGAACAGAAUGUUGUGAUUAAAAUCACUAGAUUCUAAGCUCUAAAAGGGCAGAAAUUUUGGUUGGUUGGUUCACUGCUGUAUUCCAGUACUCAGAACAGGGUCUCACACAUUAUAUCUAUGUUCUUACGCCAACCGUGCUGUUUUGGUUAUAACAGCUUUGUAGUAUAUUUUGAAGUCUUGUAGUGUGGUGCUUCCAGCUUUGUUAUUUGCUAUUUGAAAUCUUUUGUGGUUUCAUAAAACUUUUUCAAAUUUUUAAAAAUUUAUCAUAUUAAAAAAAAGAGAGAGAUGGGAGUCUCAUGUUGCCUGCGUUGGUCUCAAAUUCCUGGGCUCAAGUGAUCCUCCCAUCUUGGCAUCUCAAAGUGCUGGGAUUACAGGCAUGAGCCACCAUGCCCGGUCUCCCUAUAAAUUUAAAAACAAUUGUUUUUCCUAUUUCUGUGAAGAGUGUCUUUGAUAUUUUAAUACAGAUUGCAUUGAAUCUGUAGAUUGCUUUGAGUAGUAUCUAAUUAUUUAUUCUAUGACUUAUUAUUAUCAUCUCUUUCCUCAUCUCCUCGAGGAGGUGUCAGAUUUUUAUAUCUAUGCAGCGACAUCGGUAGUUUAUUAGAGAUGUUUAAGGAUGAAAUAAAAAGCAGCAUACCAUAUAUGCUUUACUUUGUAAACCAUAAAGAACUUAUUAGACAUUAGAUGUCACUAACAAAUAAUAAUAUAAAUAAGCCUUAUUGUGAUACUGUACAAUUCCCGAUGUGUCUUUAUAGUAUUUUUUUAAAUCUAGUAAGCGCCCGUUAAAUCUACUGAGACAACUUUGAAUUUUUGAACUUUCCAAGAGUACAACAAAGCCGUAAAGCAGAAAACACCUCUAAUAAAGAGCCAGGUUUGACCAGCACUUUGGGAGGUCUAGGCAAGUGGAUCACUUGAGGUCAGGAGUUCAAGACCAGCCUGGCCAACAUAGUGAAACCCUGUCUCUAUUAAAAAUACAAAAAUUAGCCAGGCAUUGCACCUGUAGUCCCAGCUACUCGGGAGCGUGAGGCAGGAGAAUCGCUGGAGCCUAGGAGGCAGAGGUUACAGUGAGCCGAGCUGGUGACAUUGUGCUUAGCCUGGCAAACAGAGUAAGACUCUGUCUCAAAACAAAACAAAGCCAGGUUCAGUGCAGCCUCAUUUGGUCAGCUAAAUAUUUUCCCAGAAGCAUCUUCUGAAUGUCACCUUGUAAGAAAAUGAAGAUUUUGUGAAUGCUGGCGAUAGUCUCUAUUUCGGUGACAAAGAAAGAAAGGUGGAUCUGUUAUUUAUAUCACAUCUUUCUUCAUUGAAUAACUAAGUCAGCAUCAUCUAUUCAAAAUAUUUAAUACUAACUGACAAGAUACAGUCAUCCAAAAAUGCAACCGUUCAUAUAUUUCAAAGUUACACUGGUGUUCAAGUGAAUCAUAGAUAGUUUUGAUGUUCAGUAGAAUAAUUUGUAAGAAGGAUUGUGUGGUAUUUAGUCUACAUUUUUGAAAAUCUUAUUUUCCUAUUUUUCCCCUCUUCCAAUUCUUAGGUGAAGAGCAAAAACAUGACAUAAAUUAAGUGGUUUAAAGAAUUUUAGGACAGGUGCAGUGGCUCAUGCCUGUAAUCCCAGCUACUUGGCGGGCUGAGGCAGGAGAAUGGCUUGAACCCGGGAGGCAGAGGUUGCGGUGAGCCAAGAUCGCACCAUUGCACUCCAGCCUGGGCAACAAGAGUGGAACUCCGUCUUAAAAAAAAAAAAAAGAAUUUUCCCACACCCUGAGCAGAAUAAAAACCACUGUUGAGAAUGUCUAUUUUAGGUAAUUAAUGAAGAAUGUAGGAGGGCAGUAUACACAUUGGUGAUGGGAAGUUUUCAUGUAGCAGCCAAGCUGUGGAAUGUUUGUUUAAACUGUCUUCGUUUUUGGAUGCUGGUUGCCAUAGCUUGCUUACGUGACUUGCGUUGGGCUUUGUAGUCAUAGAUUACAGGCUGUUGUUGCGACCCGGUUUGAUAACCUCCAGGAACUGUUUUACUUCUCAAAUCAUGCCUCAAUUCUGCCUGCCUUUUUAUUUCCUAUUGUGAAAAGAGUGAACAGCUCUUCAUCAGGCUGUUAACGAUCUCUAAACUUGGGUCAUUUUUGAGUCUCUGCAUUCUUUUGUGUCGGCAUUCACGUACCACAGUGUAUUUUACUAACUUUGGCAUUCACGUACCACAGUGUAUUUUACUAACUUUGGCAUUCACGUACCACAGUGUAUUUUACUAACUUUGGCAUUCACGUACCACAGUGUAUUUUACUAUCUUUUCCUUUCCCCUUUAGUCUUUCCAACUCCUACCUUCCUUGUGCAGUUCCCACAUUAUCUGUGAAGUGUUUCCUUUACCUGUUUGGCCAUGUCCUCUUCUGAAAUACUGCAAUACUGUCCAGCUUUUUUAGCACUUAAUACAAGCUUGGGGCAUUUAGUUGCUUCUCUUGGUCUUGUUUUCUGCACUAGAUUGUAAAUUUCAUGGGAACAAGAACCCUGUGUUAUCUUUACAUUUUCCACAGUGCUGAGCCUAGGGGAAAGUCAAUAAAUAUUUAACUUUUUACUGCAAAGUUAAUCAGCAAUGGCAGAAGUGCCUCUAAAAUUAGGUAUUUAGGAUCUUUUCAUUAGUUCUAGAUAAGCCUCAAAUAAGCAUAACUAAACUAUUCCUUUUUUUUUUUUUUGAGAUGGAGGCUUGCUCUGUCUCCUAGGCUAAAGUACCUCAGCUUUCUGAGAGUACGUGGGACUACGGGUGUGCACCACUCUGUAUGGCUAAUUUUUGUAUUUUUUAGUAGAGACGGGGUUUUGCCAUGUUGGCCAGCUGAUCUUGAACUCCUGGCCUCAAGUGAUCUGCCUGCCUUGGCCUCCAUAAAGCUGUUUUCUUUCUUUCUUUUCUUUUCUUUCUUUCUUUCUUUCUUUCUUUCUUUCUUUCUUUCUUUCUUUCUUUCUUUCUUUCUUUCUUUUUUUUUUAAGACUAGUCAAGUGCAGUAGUGAGAAGGGGGGAAAAACUGUUUUAUAUUAGAGAAAACCUAAUGCUAGGGUAUUUGAUGCACUGUAGUUAACAGUAACUGAAAUGGAUUCAAAUGAUGGAAAAAUUUAUUGAGAAAUUUUAUUAUGGAAGAUGAAAGUCUAAAUCUUUAUUCUGUAUAUGUUUUACUCAUUAAUGGUAAAGUUUGCUUCUAUCUAAGAUUGGUACAAUAGUAAAAUAUAAAAGUAAGUAUAAUUUAUAAAUAUUAAGUACAGACAUACAUCAGUUAAUGACUGGGAUACAUUCUGAGAAAUGGAUCAUUAGGUGAUUUUGUCCUUUUGCAAAAAAAAUCACAGAAGGUACCUACACAAACCUAGAUGGUGUAGCCUACUAUACAUCUAGGCUAUGUGGUGUAGCCUGCUGCUUCUAGGCUGCAAACCUGUACCGCACGUUACGGUACUGAAUAUAAUAGGUAAGUUUAACACAAUGGCAAGUAUUUGUGUAUUUAAACACUCAUAGAAAAGGUGCAGUAAAAACAUGGUAUUAUCAUCUUCUUUCCCUAUCUGCUCCACUGUUCACCAGAAUGUUGUUAUGUGGUAAAUGACUGUAUAUAUCUCACAGUACUAAGCCCAUGCCCUUCCACAUUUUUAUUUCUCAUCUUAUGGUUUUGCUGCUUCGUUUUGGGUUUUUUUUUUUUUUUGAGAUGGGUCUCUCUGUCUCUCAGGCUGGAGUGCAGUGAUGCUAUCUUGGCUCAUUGCAACCUCUACCUCCUGGGCUGAAGUGAUCCUCCCGCCUUGAUCUCCAGAGUAGGUGGGACUGCAGCAGGCUCACACCACCACACCCAGCCAAUUUUGUAUUUUUGUAGAGAUGAGGUUUCACCUUUUUGCUCAGGCUGGUCUUGAACUCCGAGGCUCAAGUGUUCUGCCCACCUUGGCUUCCCAAAGUGCUGAGAUUACAGGCAUGAGCCACUGUGCCCCGCCUGCUUCUUGGUUUUUUUUGGUUUCAUUUUAGUUCAGAAGCUUAGGUAAUUGCCAGACAGUUAUAAAGAUGGUUAUAGGAAGAAUCCCAUUUUAAAGAUCCUGACAUGAAACAUCAGAACUCUUUGAUGAUAUCCAAGCUGAUUUAAAAUAGUUUUAUAUAAUUUAAAGGAAAUUGAGCAUGGUGGCUCACACCUGUAAUCCUAGCACUUUAGGAGGCCAAGGUAGGAGGAACAUUUGGGCCUGGGAGUUAGAGACCAGCCUGGGCAACAGAUCAAGACCCCAUCUCAAAAAAAAAAAAAAAAGAUUAAAAUAAUAAAGAAGAAAAGGGGUAGACCGUCAAAAGAGAUCAGUCAGGGUUUUUUUUUUUCACAAAUGGGGAGCAGGAAGUUUUGUGCACAAGGAAUCUUAAAGUCUUUCAAAUGUGUUGGUAACUUGGGAAAAGAUGGAAAUGUUUAUUUCCCUUAAGAUAAUGUCCUUAUAUGUGGUUGCACUGUGACUUGAAAAAGGAUCCUAAGAUGUCACAGGAACAAAAGGUUGUGAUUGUCAGAGAAUAGUCAGAAAGGUCUGAUUCUGUGGCAGUGAGUACGGACAGAAAGUCUAGGAAAAGGUAGUAUUUACUGAGUUCUUGGUGGGAUUAAGUCAGGGCCGACUUUGGCUUCUUUAAUAAUGGAAUGGGGAAGUGGGGGAACUAUAAAAUGCAGAAAUGCUAGAACAUUGUUUUUGAGAUGAUAGGGAAGAGUAAUAAAACUGUGUUGAAGCUAUACUUUUUUUUUUUUUUUUUUUUUUUUUUUGAGAAGGAGUUUCGCUCUUGUUACCCAGGCCGGAGUGCAAUGGCGCGAUCUCGGCUCACCGCAACGUCCGCCUCCUGGGUUCAGGCAGUUCUCCUGCCUCAGCCUCCUAAGUAGCUGGGAUUACAGUCACGCGCCACCAUGCCCAGCUAAUUUUUUGUAUUUUCAGUACAGAUGGGGUUUCACCAUGUUGACCAGGAUGGUCUCGAUCUGUUGACCUCGUGAUCCACCCGCCUCGGCCUCCCAAAGUGCUGGGAUUACAGGCUUGAGCCACCGCGCCCGGCCGGUGAAGCUAUACUUUAAAAAAAAAAAAAACUUUUUUUUAGAGCCAUUUUAGAUUCACAGUAAAAUUGAGAGGAAAGUAAAAGAUUUCCCAUAUAUCUCCUGCCCCUGCACAUGCAUAACCUCUGGUACCAGCCUCCUGCUAAUCAGUGUCUACACCAAAGCAGUGCACUUGUUACAGCUGAUGAGCCUACACUGGCACGUUGUCACUCGAUGUUCAUGGUUUACAUUAGGGUUCACUUGUGGUGGUGUACAUUUUGUGGAUUUGGGCAAAUGUCACUUAGUAACAAGCAUUUAGGUUUCCACAUGUCUUUUUGUGGCUUGACAGCUUAUUUCUCUUUAGUGCUGAGUAGUAUUUCAUUAUGUGGAUGCACCACAGUUUAUUAAUUCACCUACUGAAGGACAUCUUGGUUGCUUUCAAGCUUUGUCAGUUAUGAAUAAAGCUGCUAUAAACAUCCAUGUGCAGGUUUUGUGUGGACAUAAGUUUUUACUUCGUUUGGGUAAAUACCAAGGAGCACAGCUCUAUGGUGUAAGAGUAUCUUUAGUUUUGUAAGAAACUGCCAAACUGUCUUCCGAAGUGUACCAUUUUGCUUUCCCACCAGCAGUGAAUGAGAAUUCCUGUUGUUCUACGUCCUUGUCAGCUUUUGGUGUUGUCGGUGUUCUGGAUUUUGGCCAUUCUAAUAGGUUUGUAGUGGCACCUCGUUGUCAUUUUAGUUUGUAUUUCUCCAGUGACAGAUGAUGUGGAGCAUCUUUUCAUACGCUAAUCUGUGUAUCUUCUUUGCUGAGGUGUCUGUUAAGGUCUUUGGCCCAUUUUAUUUUUUUUAUUUAUUUUUGAGAUGGAGUUUCACUCUUGCUGCCCAGGCUGGAGUGCAGUGGCGCUCACCGCAACCUCCGCCUCCCAGGUUCAAGCAGUCCUCCUGCCUUGGCCUCCCGAGUAGCUUGGAUUACAGGCAUGGCCACCACGCCUGGCUAAUUUUGUAUUUUUAGUAGAGACAGGGUUUCUCCAUGUUGGUCAGGCUGGUCUUGAACUCCCGACCUCAGGUGACCCACCCACCUCAGCCUCCCAAAGUGCUGGGUGGGAUUACAGGCAUGAGCUGCUGCACCCGGCUCGCCCAUUUUAAAAUCAGGCUAUUUUCUCUGAGUUUUGAGAGAUCCUUGUACAUUUUAGAUAACAGUCCUUUCAUCUGCGGUUUGUAAAGAGCAAAAAUUUUUAAUUUUGAUCAAGUCCAGCUUAUCAAUUCCUUCUUUCAUGCAUCCUGCAUUUGGUAUCUGAAAAGGCCAUUAACAAACCCACGUUCCUCUAGAUUGUUCUCCUGUGCCAUAUUCUAGGAAUUGUAUUGUUUUCCAUUUUCCCGUUAGGUUUACGAUCCAUUUUGAGUUCAUACUUGUGAAGGGUAUAAGAGCUGUGUCUAGAUUCUUUUUGUUUUUUUCAUGUGGAUAUCCAGUUUUUCUGCCACUGUUGGUUGAAAAGACUGUCUUUUCUCCAUUGUGUUGCUUUUGUCUUUUGACAAAGAUGGUUGACUGUAUUUAUGUGGUGCCAUUAUCUAUGCUCCCUAUUCUGUUCCAUUGAUCUCUUUUGUUCUUUCAUCAGUACCUGACUGUCUUGAUUCCUGUAGGUUAUAGGUGUACUUUUAAGCUUCAUGCAUAGAAUAUUUCCAUUCGCUCCUCCAGUUCAGGUGCUCAGACAUCCUGUCUUAAAAAUCUACCAUUUCCUCACACUUUUGCCGCAUCACGAGGAGCUUUUUUAGCCUUGUUAAUAGAUUUGGAGUUUUUGCCUGUAGGUGAUGGAAGCCAUUAAUUAGUUGUCAGAGAAGUAAGUUGAUCAUCUUUUCACUGUUUAGGUAAAUAACUUCUACUCCAGGCUGAAGAGCCACAGGAGUGGGGCUAGAAUAGAGGUAGGAAGAGCCCAUCCGAUAAAUCAGUGAAAGAGCAAAUCACCUAAUAAUGCAGUACAUGAGCGUGAAGUGAUUUAGAUGGCCUUUUGAUGUGCCUCCAUGUAAGAGUGAAACUUCUUAUUACAGAAUACAGUUUCUACCAGAAGAGAGCUAUGCUGUGUGGGAAUUGGAGGUGGGGGAGGCGGGUCAUGUGGCACACUCUGCUGAGGAACUUUGAAACAGCAUAUCCCUGGCUUUUCACCCUCAACUAGUGCCAGCAUGAAACACUGUUACUCAUGGCAAUCUGCUGUAUUCUCAGAUGGGGAACCAUUGCACUAGAGCAUGUCUUUUCUAAGAAAAUGGAAAUAUUAACCAGGAGAAUAAAGGACCACAGAAAUGAAACAGAAUUUCCUUGCAAGUUAAGUCUUGUUGGUUGGAGAGAGAAAUUUUUUUAACUGCCUGAACAGGUUUUGCUGAGAGACAUUUUAGCAUGUUUGUGUUUACUUUUUAAUGAACAGAAUUGAAACAGUAUCUGACAACUGUUAAGAUAUUUCUCGUUUGUUUAUUUCGGAGACUGAGUCUCACUUUGGCGCCCAGGCUGGAGUGCAGUGGCAUAAUCUCAGCUCACUGCAAUCUCCACCUCCUGGGUUCAAGUGAUUCUCGUGCUUCAGCCUCUGAGUAGCUGGGAUUGCAGGUGCCCUACCACACCCGGGUAAUUUUUGUAUUUUUAGUAGAGGUGAGGUUUCACCAUGCAGGCCAGGCUGGUUCUGAACUCCUGACCUCAAGUGAUCUGCCUUCCCAAAGUCUUGGGAUUACAGACGUGAGCCACCGUACCUGGCCAAUAUUUCUCUUUUGAUUUUGAAUUCUGUUGUUUUCAGAACAUGCUCAAAAAAAGAGUUAAACUUGAGACCACAGGUAUGGACAGGUCUAGGUAUUCAGUCUGUGUGGCUGUUUUGCCAGGUGCUAUAAAUGCUGCCUGAGUGUAUUCUGAUACCAGGCUAGCCCAAGUGGCCAAUGAUAGGAAAUGAAGAACUAUGUGAAAGAACUGGAAUUUCAGGUUUGGGUAGUGAGUAAUUGUGGCCCUGCCUUCAGAGUCCUGGAACUCUUCACCUGGGUGUCAGCAAAAAGGCAAAUACAUAGAGCAGUCAGUCUGCUUAGUUGGGUCAUGUUGAUUUGUAUUAUCAGCAUGGUUGAAGCUAAGGUGAGCUUGAACAAGUAGCCAAGACCUGUUUCAGGUUUGCUUAAGUCACCAGAAGCCUGACUGAGACACUCUAAAAAUCAUCAGUCUGUACUUUAUUUACAUGAAAAUAAAACUAUACUUUUGAUAAAGUCCUCAGUACUUCCCUCUGCUUACUCCCCCUCAAUUAAAAAACACCUAAGUUAAACUAAAGAACCUGGCCAGAUGCAAUGGCUCAUGCCCAUAUAAUCCCGGCACUUUGGGAGGCCAAGGUGGGAGGAUUGCUUGAGCUCUUAAGUUUGAGAUCAGCCUGGAUGAGUUGGGAGACCCCUUCUCUACAAAGGAAAUUAUGAAAAAUUAGCCAGGUAUGGUAGUGUCCACCUUCAGCCCCAGCUACUCAGGAGCCUGCAGUGGGAGGACCGCUUGAGGCCAGGAGGUUGAGGCCAUAGUGAGCAAGGAUCAGGCCACUGCACUGCAGCCUGGGCAACAACGAGACUCUGUCCCUAAAAAAUAAGUAAAAAUUAGCUCCUUGCUCGCUCAGUGCUGGCUCCUUGCCCACUGGGUGCUGAAGUUGGGCAAAUGCCACAAACCAGCUCCACUAGAGGACUGAGCUGCGGAGCCCCGCUCCCCUGGGCCCAUUGGUGUGCUGCCCACACCUUCAGGUGACAGGCCCAUUGGUGUGCUGCCCACACCUCCAGGUGCCAGGCCAGUUGGGUACUGAAGUAGCCGAAAUGCGGAAAAGGCAGCAGUUCCAAAAUGAAGGAACCCCUGCUGUGUCUCAAGCGCCUGGAAACCAGAGGCCCAACAACACCUGUUGCUUUUGUUGGUGCUGUUGUUGCAGCUGCUCCUGCCUCUCUGUUAGGGAUGAAGAGGGGAAAAUGCGGGAAGACCCACAUGCACUACAGAAAUGGGGAGCCUCACGUCCUAGAGGAAUGCCAAAGCCCCACUGCAGAGGAAGUCUUGUCCUGGUCUCAACAUUCUGACAAGAUGAUGAAGGCCCCAGAAGGAAGAAACCUUUUCAGAGACUUCCUCCGAACAGAAUACAGCGAAGAGAACCUACUUUUCUGGCUUGCCUGUAAAGACUUAAAGAGCAGAACAAAAAAGUAAUUGAAGAAAAGGCGAGAAUGAUAUAUGAAGAUGACAUUUCUAUGUUAUCACCAAAAGAGGUCAGUCUUGAUUCUAGAGUUAGAGAGGUGAUCAGUAGACAUCUGUUGGAUUCAGAUCCUCACCUAUAUAGCCCUCUCCAGACCCAAGUGACAUAUUUUCCGAUGAAUUCAAGGGGGUGUUCAAGACUUUGACUCUAAUGAAAACACUUUAAAAGGCAAAAUGUUGCCCUGAUAGAAGGUCGCAGUUGGGAACUGAUUUGAUUCCUAUGACAAAAGCUCCAAGAUGAGUAAGGAAAAGGAACACGAUCAAGCAUUGAUGACACUAACCAAAUGUAUUUUUUAUAUGUCAUAUAUGCAAUGUGAAAUUCAUUCCCCCCUCAUUAUUUCUCUUGAACUCCUUACCUCAGAUGCUCCACCCACCUCGGCCUCCCAAAGUGCUAGGAUUACAGGCAUGAGCCACCGCGCCUGGCCCUCAUUAUUUCUCAUAUUAAUGUCACAAGGCAACAAACCAUUUCAUUGCAUUCAAUGUUCUCAUAAUUGAAAAGGAAAACGUUUCAUUUAAAAUUUUCAUUUAAAUUUUUUCAAAUAUUCAAUAAAUUGAAGAAGGUUGAGAAAAAGUUUAAAACUGUGUUUCUGCAAUCUAAACAGGUACCAUAUAUUUACUAUAUUUUAGGUAGCUAUGCAAGAUAGCUACUUAAAAUUAAGCAUUCUUUUAUUUUUAAUUACUUUUUUUGAUUGUUGAAUUCUUUAUUAAUUCAAAACAUUUUAAGAAACGUUCUCAAUCUAAAAAGUGUGAAAUCACAGGAUCUUAGAGCUGAAAAAGGUCUCAGGAUUACCUUGGACAACAUAUUCGCUGAAAAGAUAAAGAAUUUAGGACUAGAGCAUUCUGAUUUCACCAUAAACAACUGGUACCACAGUAACCUGAAAGGAGAGUGACGAUUCUUUAAAAAUACAUUUACGAAUUCCUGAGUUUAAUAUCCUUGUGUCUAAAAACCGCUUUAAAGGAAUCUUAAAUUUACAUUCAAUCAGCGAUCAGUUUUGACUAUCCUAUUUUUUUAGUGCCUGAAAUCUUUUAUAAUAAAUUAAACAAAAGGAACCAUUUGAACUGGUUAUGGUAGCUAGUAAUGUGGCUGAGGGUUUUGUGUUUACAGUCAAUGAGGUCAUUUUGUUUGGAACGGGGCAUAAUGGGACUCCACGUUAGGGAAGCUGGCCAGAAUGAAGUCCUGGCCUUGAAGAAACAGAUUUAUUAAAAACACGCCUAACUUUUAAGCACUGGAAUGGAAUUAUACUAUUGUUGAUAAUGGGUUAUGAUGUUCUUUUUUUUUUGGAGUCUAGCAAAUAGCUGUGGUAAUGGAGACUUCCAAGGAGUACAGAAAUGAGACUUAAGGAAUAAUUAGUUACCUGGCAUGCACCUGUUACGUAUCUCUUGCAUAUACUUGGAGCGUUAAAGAAGCUAAUGUUAAUUCAGUGCACGUUAUGUGUCAAGUAUUCUGCACAUGCAUUUUUGCAUCUAAUCUUCACAAUAGCUCUGCGUUUUGGUAUUAUUUACUUUACCCAUUUUACAGAAGGAGGAAACUUGAGACUGAUACUACCUAUAUUAUGGAAUGAGGACACUGAGACACCAAGUAAGUAACGUGUCCAAGGUCACACUGCAGAAGAUGGGCACCCAAGCAGUCUGACUCCAGAGCCUGUUCUCUGAACUGCUUUGUGUUACUAUUUUACCUUAACUACAAAGCUUGUUUUGGGGAUGAGAGGUUAGGAACCUUGUUGAUAAGUAUACCUGUGGCAUGUCUCCUUGGAGAAUAAAAUGAGCCAGCCUGAGAUUUUUUUAUCUGAUAGAUGCCUGCCUGGAUGCCCUCUUUCUAAUCCGAGUGCCCAUUUUUUUUUCCCCAUCUAAGAGCAUAUUUGAGGAAUUAGAUGAUGUAUUUAGUUUUGGACAUGUUUUUUACACACUGUCUUCAAGAGGCGCUGAUAUAGACUUGUCUGAUAGACAAUUUGGUGACUGGAUUUGGAGCUCAGAACCUGAACCUGGAGUUGGAGAUUUAAAUUGUUUUUUAUAUAUGUAUUUACUUAAUCUAUAUAAUAAACUGUUAUAGCAGAAAGGACGUUGGUGGAUUUAGAGGCCUGGCUGCAUGGUUUUAGAGACAGUCCUGAUUUAGGAAACAAGAAUUCCAAUUUUAGUUCUGUUUUUCUUGUAGACUGUAAGAACUUGGCCACCCCAAUUUACUGAUGAAAAAUGGAAUCAUUAAUUUAGAUCUUCAGUCUUGUCUAUAACUGAAAAGAAUUGUAAGAUACCUGAACUUUGUAAUUUAAGUAUCUUUGAUAUCUACAGGUGCUCCCUCUGGAUCAGGUAUCAGAAAAUGUAUUCUCAAGAACCUCCUUGAUGCUGUAGGGUAUAUAAGUACACGAGGGAGAGGAGGAGGAGCAGGAAAGAUGUCAGAGCGUCAAAGACAUGACUAAACCAAUAAAAUGCUUUUCUUUAUGUACACAUUUUCAGUUUAUGGACCUCUCCAUAGAAAUGAGCAAAAGCUACAUGCCAGCAAAGGUGUCUUCUGCCUCAAUAAGUGGCUUGUGAUUGUGGGGAGCCAUUUUCAGUUUUGAUUUAUUACUGUUGGUUUUUAGUAUGUACUAUAAGGUGUGGGUAUAUUGAUUGCUUAUUCUGACUUUUGAGAUUUCUGAAAGACAACUGUUAAAGCACAGUAGCAGUGUGGAAGUGCUGAUAGAAAACAGCACACGAUAGCAGUCAAAAAGAAAGUAAAACUUAAAUUUCCGUAGAUGUAUUCACCUUGGCCCUUGGGACAAUGUCAUUUUGCAUUUGUGAACAAAUGCGUUUUGAAAUAGCCUUUUGGAACCUAAUCUUUUACAGAGAAACGUCUGUAUCAGCAAACAUCCCUUGAUUCUGGUUAUAUUUUCUUACUGUGGCUUUUCAAACUUACGAUAAUAGUUUCCUCUUUACCAGGAAUAUGUCAGUCAUUCUUUUUUUAAAUAAAGGAUAUUAGUAGAAAUAGUUUAAAUAUCUAGUGAUACUUAUUUAUUAAACACAGACUCUCACUAUGUAAGGCAAGCUGGAGUGCAGUGGCAGUCGUGGCUCACUACAGCCUUGAACUCCUGGGCUCACGCGAGCCUCCUGCCUCAGCCUCCUGAGUAUCUAGGAUCACAAGUGCACACACACCAACACAGCCAGCUAAUUUUUUUUUUUUUUUUUUUUUUUUUGUAGAGGUGAGGUCUUGGUAUGUUGCCCUGGCUGGUCUCAAACUCCUAGUCUCAAGUGACUUCUUCCCUACCAGCCUCCCAAAAUCCUGGUGUUACAGCUUUAAGCCACCAUGCCUGACCUGAUAAGAUAUUUAAAACAGUAUCUGUUAUCAGUGUAAUCCUUUUUGUAAUCACUGUGGGCACACAGGUUUGGGAAAUACAGAAGAAAUUUUAGACAAAGGUUAUUUCCCCAGAAGAGGUUUUGCUUCAGUUGUCUUGGUGCUUGGCACAUUGCCUUGCAAAUAAUUGGCACUCAAACAUGUAUUCACUUGAAUUCAGGGGACGCAGUUUUCGAAUUUGAGACAGUGUACUACAAUGAAUCCUAGAUUGGUUGUACGGGCAGUAAUUGCUGUGUUUUUGAAGGGAGCACCCUUACAGUUUGAGGCAGAGAUGUUGGGAGGCUUUGUGAAAUAAAUGGGGCUUGAGUAUUGAGUGGAAAAGAUGGGAUUGAAUGCUGGCAAGUAGAAGUGGGCGGGUACUGCAGGCAUGGGAAAUAACAGAAGUUGAGAAAAGAGGCAAGAUUGAAUAGUUUGUGUGGAGGAGCAUUAGGCAGGCCUGGUGUAGAGGAAUUGGGUUGGAUAAUAAUCUAAGGAAAAAGGUAUUGUCAGUAAUACCUGCACAAGGCCAAAUACGUCCAUCUGUGAUCUGUUUGGAUCAAAACACUUUUUCCUCUUCUAGAUAUGGUACAUGGCUCAAAAAUCACCUGAAUGUGCUAGGAAUACAUUUGGAGUUGAACUUGCUGUUAAAAGGGAGUGGAUGAGAGUGGGAAAUGUGCUGGGUUGGAAUUUGGUGUAGUAACUGGAAAUAUCAUCUGACUUGGAGUCUUAAUUCUUACUUUAUUUUGAGUUCCUACUGGGAAAAUCACAAUCACCCAUGAUGGCCGUGAAAGCCCAGAACACAUAGGGACUUGUCUCUGCAGAAAUUAGGAAAUGCUUAAGUGAUUUGGCACAUACUAGCUGGAUUUACGUUUUCAAGGAAACUGAUUCACCAGGUCAGCUUUGUCUCCAAACUUGUCUCUUUAAAUUAUUAGGAAAUUACUGGCCAUCCUUUCCUUGGAGUCAACUAAAGUGUUUGUAUUAAAAUUAUAAAUGGUCAUUCAAAGAACUAGAUGCUACUUAAUGUGAUUAUUUUUCUGUCUUUGUCUUUUCAUACCACGUUUAUGGCCAUAAUCAUUUGAUGAAAAUUUAAUAAGAUUGUGAUUAAAAACCUAAAGAAUUUUUUCCUUUUCCUUCUGUUAGUAUCUAUAACUUUUUAAAACAAUAGGCAGAC